RNAcentral lists this ribosomal RNA (254 nucleotides) under uncultured bacterium. RNAcentral's name for it is "partial 16S ribosomal RNA". It matches the Rfam family "Bacterial small subunit ribosomal RNA", at positions 524 to 776 of the family's 1533-position model. The record is from RNAcentral.
UACGUAGGGGCCUAGCGUUGUCCGGAUUUAUUGGGCGUAAAGAGCUCGUAGGCGGUUCGAUAAGUCGGGUGUGAAACCUCCAGGCUCAACCUGGAGACGCCACCCGAUACUGUCGUGACUAGAGUCCAGUAGGGGAGCGUGGAAUUCCUGGUGUAGCGGUGAAAUGCGCAGAUAUCAGGAGGAACACCAGCGGCGAAGGCGGCGCUCUGGGCUGGCACUGACGCUGAGGAGCGAAAGCGUGGGUAGCGAACAGG